This 465-nucleotide ribosomal RNA is filed under the name Vreelandella stevensii. Its description in RNAcentral is "partial 16S ribosomal RNA". It matches the Rfam family "Bacterial small subunit ribosomal RNA", at positions 338 to 795 of the family's 1533-position model. The record is from RNAcentral. Lineage: Bacteria; Pseudomonadati; Pseudomonadota; Gammaproteobacteria; Oceanospirillales; Halomonadaceae.
CCUACGGGCGGCAGCAGUGGGGAAUAUUGGACAAUGGGGGGAACCCUGAUCCAGCCAUGCCGCGUGUGUGAAGAAGGCCCUCGGGUUGUAAAGCACUUUCAGUGAGGAAGAACGCCUGGUGGUUAAUACCCAUCAGGAAAGACAUCACUCACAGAAGAAGCACCGGCUAACUCCGUGCCAGCAGCCGCGGUAAUACGGAGGGUGCGAGCGUUAAUCGGAAUUACUGGGCGUAAAGCGCGCGUAGGUGGCUUGAUAAGCCGGUUGUGAAAGCCCCGGGCUCAACCUGGGAACGGCAUCCGGAACUGUCAAGCUAGAGUGCAGGAGAGGAAGGAAGAAUUCCCGGUGUAGCGGUGAAAUGCGUAGAGAGCGGGAGGAAUACCAGUGGCGAAGGCGGCCUUCUGGACUGACACUGACACUGAGGUGCGAAAGCGUGGGUAGCAAACAGGAUUAGAUACCCCUGUAGUC